UAGCCUGCGCAGGGAUUGUGCUUGGCUUCUGGCUUGUAGCUCUUCAUGGAGCAGCACUGCUCUUGCUGACAGAGAUGCAGAUCCAAAAUCACAUUCUUUUGUGUGCAAGAUUUUGGUGAACUUUCUUGAGCGGCCAGGGAGCCCUGAAGGCGUAUCAGCUAACACAGUUUUUAAACCUGUAAUUCAGCAGGUAGAACUGGUUUAUCAGCCCUGGGAGCCAAAUCAAAACAGGAGGCACUGACAUUGAUAACUGGCAUUUUGGAGCAGGACAUAAGUGAUUAAUGCUGGAAGAAGAAAAUCUUAUUUCUUAUUAUUCAAAAUGCAUAAAUUUUUCUUGUAAUGCAGUAGCUUUCUGGCCCUUUCCUAUUGUGCUAUGGAAAUUCUUGCUCGAUUAUUGUGAAAUCGCACAGCAUACUUAACGCAAGCAAAGUACUAAGAUUAAAAAAACUAAUACUUAACAAAUACUAAAUAAAAAAUAAUAUAUAACUACUUAUUAAAGAAAAAUUAUUGCACAAUAAACAGUCUAGGUAAGAAAAGAACCCCCAGAGGUUAGUUGCCUCAGCUCAGACUGGGACUCUACAUGUAGGAUGACAGAAAGAACUUCUCUUAAGCUUUGCCCUCUGUAGCUCUCCCUUAUGCUGAAGAUGGACCUUUCUGAGCAACAGAGCUUCUAGCAGGCCUUUUUAGCAGGCCGUCACAAGUGUCAAAGCUCUGCUUGAACAAAAUAGAGAAUCAAGACUGUUUUGAUCUCCAUUUUUGUGUGUGUGUGUGUGUUGUGAAACCAUUUAACUGUUAAGAAAAAAAUGUAGACAUCGAAUUGUUGUGAUUUCAUUGGUAAUAAUUACA
Pezoporus flaviventris is the source of this 846-nucleotide long non-coding RNA. RefSeq lists it as uncharacterized. The transcript has 3 exons. NCBI's taxonomy places the organism in Eukaryota, Metazoa, Chordata, Aves, Psittaciformes, Psittacidae. The record is from RefSeq and is a predicted model, not a curated record.